RNA transcript from Hyposmocoma kahamanoa, 4833 nucleotides. It is a transcript of the gene named hydroxysteroid dehydrogenase-like protein 2, with no coding region annotated. The record is from RefSeq and is a predicted model, not a curated record. NCBI's taxonomy places the organism in Eukaryota, Metazoa, Arthropoda, Insecta, Lepidoptera, Cosmopterigidae. The transcript has 13 exons.
UCAAUCCUCGUAAGAUUUGGCUUUACGAAUUGAUAAAUUUAGAAUUAAAUUUGUUUAAUUAAUUAAAUUUUGUACACAAAAUGAGUUUAGUUGCUAAUACCGGGAAAUUGGCGGGUCGCACACUGUUUAUAACUGGUGCAUCUCGAGGUAUCGGGAAGGCUAUAGCGCUGAAAGCGGCAAAAGAUGGUGCUAAUGUGGUUAUAGCGGCGAAAACCGCAACGGCACAUCCCAAGCUUCCUGGGACUAUUUACACUGCUGCUGAAGAAAUUGAAGCAGUGGGAGGGAAAGCACUGCCAUGUGUUGUAGAUAUCAGAGACGAAAAACAAGUGCAAAAAGCCAUAGAUGACACUAUUAAAAAGUUCAAUAACAUUGAUAUUGUAGUGAACAAUGCAUCUGCAAUCUCAUUAACAAACACAGAGACAACUGAUAUGAAGAGAUAUGAUCUCAUGCAUCACAUCAACACUAGAGGCACUUUUUUAGUGUCAAAGCUUUGCUUGCCUCAUCUAAAAAAUAGCAACCAUGCACAUAUUCUCAAUCUAUCUCCACCACUCAACUUGAACCCAUAUUGGUUUUCACUCCAUGUGGCGUACACGAUGGCGAAGUACGGCAUGUCGAUGUGCGUGCUCGGCAUGAGCGAAGAAUUCCGUCCGUACAACAUUGGUGUUAACGCGCUCUGGCCUAAGACAACAAUCGCGACAGCGGCGAUACAAAUGUUAACUGAUGACUUUUCCGCCACUCGCAAGGUGGACAUUGUCUCUGACGCAGCCUACGUCAUGCUUUGCAAGGAUCCAAAGUCGUACACGGGCAACUUUGCGAUAGACGAAGACAUCGUAACAGCGGCUGGCGUCAAGGAUCUCGUACCGUAUGCUCACGAUCCUAAAAACGCAGACAAGCUGAUGAUUGAUGGUUUCCUGGACGUGCCGGGGGCAGUGGACAGCCACAAGAGCUCCAGUUCGAUUAGUACGCAGCGUCGCGGAUACCGCACCUCCGCCGUGCGAUUUGAACAGAAGAAGAGAACGCACAAAACCUCUUACUGGACUUCUUUUUGGAUGUGCCCGCUGGCGACGCAAGGCAGCCUAAAAAGCCGGAAGCUGAGACGAAGGCAGGGCCUGAGGCAGCAGGCGGUCAAAUCACAGUGCUUUUCUCCACCAUCUCCAAGACCAUCACGCCUGAACUGGUGCAGAAAACUCAGGCCGUCUUUCAGUUCAACGUUAAAGGUAAAGAAGAAGGCGUAUGGCACUUGGACUUGAAGAACGGCGAUGGCGCGUGCGGAAAGGGCGAGCCAAAAGCUGCGCCUGACGCCACACUUACCAUGGACAGUGGAAACUUUGCCGACAUGUUUGCCGGAAAAUUGAAGCCAGCCACCGCCUUUAUGAUGGGCAAACUAAAGAUCAAAGGCGACCUGCAGAAGGCCAUGAAACUCGAGAAGAUGAUGAAGUCGCUCAAGAAUAAAGCCUAAUACGUCAUAGGGGUUAGAACUAGGAUAUUCUUGUAUACAGUGCAAUAAAAUCACUUAAACACAACUGACUUGAGGCAAUGAGAGAAUGGAAUUAUUGUAUAAGAUAAAUUGAAGACUGGUCAUUUUUCUUUAUGACGUUGAGUACAUACCAUAGAGGUAGAAUAUGACAAUACGAAAUAUAAUUUACUACGUCGUAUUCUGGGUUACAAAGUAAUUUGUCGUAACUAAAUUUUUACGUUAACUUGCGAAAUGCGAAAAUACGUGUAAAACAAAAUGGCUAGAUCAAUACGCCUAUCUUAGUCUUGCAAAAUGUAACCAAUCUUCACUUUCCCUAUAUGUAUAUGGGUUUUUGGUAAAUAACUACAUAUGUUAAUUUUUAUGUAAGAUUAAAUCACGAAUGUAUAAAAACUGAUAUUACUGGAUAUUUAGGUAACUUCGAGUAAAAAGAGGAACUGUACAAUUAACAUUACUUCAAGGUCCAAGAAGUAAAUAAUUGCUUGACGAGUAUGAGAUGAGUCGAGCGGUUGCUAUUUCCGUGGAGAUUAACAAAGCUUUUCUCAAUAAAUGCUGGGAAAUUAUACAAAUAUGUUUAAAAAAUAAGUUACCAAAAAGCGGGAAAACGAAUACAUAAGCCUAAGUCAUGGCCAAAGGCUGGACGCCAUAGUGGAAAGGCGUAAAAAAAAGCAUAAGUUUUAAUUUUUUUUCUAACCGUAGACCUUUUAAAACUGAAUUUAAAAAAAGAAACACGCACUGCGCUGAAAAACUUUACGCUGAAGCUUUAGCCACUUCAAAUAUUACGUAGUAGUAGUAACAUGUAGCUGUAAAAAGUGUAUUUUCAUACGGAUUUUGCUGAUUAGGCCGAGAAGUUAAUAUUACUUUCUGUUACUAAUUUUGAGGUAUGGCAAAUAUCAAGUCAUUGUUUAUUUGUUGAGCAUUGAUAUAAAACUAUCAGCUUAUAAAGAUAACAAAUAAUUAAGAAACUGAAAACGUAAUAUACUCAAAUUCAAAAAUCAUUCAUAUAAAAACGUAACUACAAAAACCCGCCAUUUUUAAGGCAUUGGCAAAAAUCAAACUCUUUGCAUCUUCUCUUUUCAAAAGAAAAGCUCACAUUUCCAAGCAUGGUUGAGAAAAAAAAUUUGUAGCACACAGAUGCAUAAGCAUUAUAUUGUUCUGCACCACGCUUUUUCAUUAUUGUUAUACAUGAAAAAAAAACAAUAACAACAUAAUAUCUUCAUAUAAAUCAUGUGCAGUAAAGGAUAAAAAGUUGUAAAUUUUAGAUUUUGUAUGUUUUCUAGUUUUGUGUACGUGUAUCAUGUUGAAUUUUAAAUAUUUUGAUAUGUACAAUGACUGUUUUUGGAUUUUAUUUUCAUUUUGUUGUGAAUUUUAUACAAAGCAGUGCGCAAACUUUGGAUUGUUGAACUGCCACUUGAAUAUUACACCAAGAAAAAUAAUUAUUAAGAAACAUCUCAGCAAUUAAGUGUCUUAUAAUUACACCUAAUAGACAACAACGGUAUCUUAUAACACCAAAUAAUCGUUAUUCACAUUAGACGACGACACGGUAACGACAUGGAUAUGAACCUAAUGUGUUGUUAGUGCGCUACAAAUAAGACAGAUGACGCUUUACACAAAAUUGUUCUUACCUCGUGUGGGUCGACCGUUAUUUAAAAUUAAUGCCCUCCAUUUUUAUCGAAAUGCAGUGAGUGAAGCUUUCUAGGCAUCCACUCACAUUACACAAUCUACGAACAGAAUGACUUGGCCAUUCUGUGAAAUUUCAAUCUAGCAUAAAAACACAAUUCUAAAGAACGAAACGUAAAUUUUUAAUUUCGUUCUGUGACUUGAUGUUAUGUCUAUGGAAAAAUAAAUUGUAAAGUUUUGCGCGCGCAAACGCAAAAAAAGAAAAGAAACACUACUGCUCCUCUGUAAGGAAUAGACAUUCGGCCUAUUUAUUGCCGCGGAAUGGAAUGGAAGCAAAUUUUAAUAACGAAAAUGUACGUAGCAGAAUGAACUUUAUGUCAUUGCAUAACGUGCAUACUAGAUACAAGCCAAAUUCUCGCGCAUUCUCUGGAAUUCGUAUACCGUCGGCGGCAUUUGGCGAGUUCGCAGGAACGUAGCGUCAAAUGUCUACGAAACCAGUAUAGAGAUAUCAAUCUUUGCAAAAUGUUUCAUGCAGGCUAAAAAGUUUUCGCUUGUUCGAUAAAUCUGGAACCCAAAUAUUUCUUUUCCUUUUUCUGUUCUCAUUCCUUUGCGCUUCGUCUUCUACCGCUUCACAAAUAUGUGAAAUAAAAUCAAUAAAUAAAGCCAGCAUUCUUGUGUAAAAUAUCUAGACUAAAGAACUGAAAACGUACCAUAGCCUCCAGGCUCAGACGCGCGCCUUCUCGGCGAAACUAGGCGAAAUUGUCGCGUCCGUUCCAUGCCAUUCCGCGGCAAUGUAUAUUGAGCUUUAGGUUCAUUUCAAUGUUUCCAUGUCAUUAUAGUUCUUAAGUCUUCUAAUUUCAAAACGUAAUCAAAUAAACACCCUACUUCCGUAGAAUUAUAUUACUCAGUAAUGGCAUUAUAUUAUUUUGUUCAAACAACAACGUAAGCGAAAUAAUUUCAAUUUAAUUUUGUUAUAACAAUAAACCUUUUUUACAACUGUGUAAAUAAAAUUUGAUAUUAUUAUAGUAUUUGGUAUUUUUUAUUCUUUACAGCUAAACAAAUCAGCGUCAUAACAAACUAUCAAUCCUUAUAUAUUCCACUACAAGGCACGAGACCCUGACGGUAUGACUGUCGGUCCAUGGCAGUUACGGAGACAGCUAGUGUGGGACGCAACCUGUGUGGACACUGGCCCCCUCCCAUGUCCGUGCAUACGUGUGUGGCGCAGGCUCUAUCGCCAGAUUUCCCCCCCGUAAAAAAAAAGGGCUCUAUCGCCAGAGCGACCGAGAACCGCAAAAGGUUCAAAUACCUUGCUCAGUGUUACAGAAUUGUGCCUUUUGCGGUUGAAACCCUGAGUCACUGGCACAGGCGAACUUCUAGCGAACGAGCUGUCAGAUCGCCAGCUGUAAAAGCCCCCUGUGACCACAAGGCUGGCAAUUAUUUCCGCAUAAGUUAUAAGUUUAACUAUUCAAAGGGGAAAUUCUAGGCACGAUGCCCCAGGGUAGGAGUGCUCGAUAUAUAUCGAUAUUGAAAAAAAUAUCGAUACAUAUAUGCCGAAUCGAAUCAAUCUGAUAUUAGUGUAUCAUUCGGUAUCGAUAUGUACUAUCAAUACAUUUUAUCCGAUACAAGAAAAAUCGUGCAAAGUUGAAAGUACACAAUUCAAGAUUGUACUUGCAGGAACGAAACGCACUUCGAGCGCUGAUUCGCUGGUCAUCCGUCAGUGUAACGUAGUGGUUAUGUUC